Molecule: ribosomal RNA, 425 nt
Filed under: uncultured bacterium
Lineage: Bacteria
Description: partial 16S ribosomal RNA
Rfam family: Bacterial small subunit ribosomal RNA
Source: RNAcentral
GUGGGGAAUCUUGCGCAAUGGGCGAAAGCCUGACGCAGCCAUGCCGCGUGAAUGAUGAAGGUCUUAGGAUUGUAAAAUUCUUUCACCGGGGACGAUAAUGACGGUACCCGGAGAAGAAGCUCCGGCUAACUUCGUGCCAGCAGCCGCGGUAAUACGAAGGGGGCUAGCGUUGCUCGGAAUUACUGGGCGUAAAGGGCGCGUAGGCGGACAGCUUAGUCAGAGGUGAAAGCCCAGGGCUCAACCUUGGAAUUGCCUUUGAUACUGGCUGUCUUGAGUUUGGGAGAGGUGAGUGGAACUCCGAGUGUAGAGGUGAAAUUCGUAGAUAUUCGGAAGAACACCAGUGGCGAAGGCGACUCACUGGCCCAAUACUGACGCUAAGGCGCGAAAGCGUGGGGAGCAAACAGGAUUAGAAACCCGGGUAGUCC